UUGACUCGUUUGUAUAAUACUCGGAGAUGCCAACACGCUGAGACAGAGUAUGCGGGCCGCCGGCGGGCGCGCGGAGCGCCCGCCGAGGCAACGACGGUAGGUAAGAUUCACAGUGGUAUUACGGGAGUAUGACGUCCUGUAAUGAUCCUUCCGCAGGUUCACCUACGGAAA
Molecule: unclassified non-coding RNA, 171 nt
Filed under: uncultured fungus
Lineage: Eukaryota; Fungi
Description: sequence contains ITS1
Source: RNAcentral